AGAUUUCCUGGAGCACAGAGUGCCUCACUCCACCCUGAACUCCCUCAGGGGUGUUGAAGGUCAACAGCUACAACAGCACAGUGUUCAGUCUCCACAGAGGCAGAUGGCAAAUGCUGUUGUUCAGUGGUCGGCAAUGAAAUUGAACUGCUACUGUGGCCAUUUGUGACCAGCUGAGGAUGAAGCCAGUGCUGGAGAGGACAGAGAGAAGAGCUCGAAAGAACCUGGCUUCUUCAUAACAUUGCUGAGUGGCUGGAUCCACCUGCCUUUGAAGCUCUUGAUCUCUCUGCCAACUUUCAUGUUACCUGAGAUAAUAAACUCUUUAUUGUUUGA
Bos taurus (domestic cattle) is the source of this 330-nucleotide long non-coding RNA. Lineage: Eukaryota; Metazoa; Chordata; Mammalia; Artiodactyla; Bovidae. The record is from Ensembl.